This 253-nucleotide ribosomal RNA is filed under the name uncultured bacterium. RNAcentral's name for it is "partial 16S ribosomal RNA". It matches the Rfam family "Bacterial small subunit ribosomal RNA", at positions 524 to 776 of the family's 1533-position model. The record is from RNAcentral.
UACGUAGGGUGCAAGCGUUGUCCGGAAUUAUUGGGCGUAAAGAGCUUGUAGGCGGUUUGUCGCGUCUGCUGUGAAAUUUCGGGGCUCAACCCCGAACUUGCAGUGGGUACGGGCAGACUAGAGUGUGGUAGGGGAGACUGGAAUUCCUGGUGUAGCGGUGAAAUGCGCAGAUAUCAGGAGGAACACCGAUGGCGAAGGCAGGUCUCUGGGCCACUACUGACGCUGAGAGGCGAAAGCAUGGGGAGCGAACAGG